Molecule: ribosomal RNA, 264 nt
Filed under: uncultured Eubacteriales bacterium
Lineage: Bacteria; Bacillati; Bacillota; Clostridia; Eubacteriales
Description: uncultured Clostridiales bacterium partial 16S ribosomal RNA
Rfam family: Bacterial small subunit ribosomal RNA
Source: RNAcentral
AUGAAGAGCCUAGUGACUGAGCGGCGGACGGGUGAGUAACGCGUGGGUAACCUGCCUCAUACAGGGGGAUAACAGUUAGAAAUGACUGCUAAUACCGCAUAAGGCCGCAGCACCGCAUGAAGCAGUGUGAAAAACUCCGGUGGUACAAGAUGGACCCGCGUCUGAUUAGCUGGUUGGUGAGGUAACGGCCCACCAAGGCGACGAUCAGUAGCCGGCCUGAGAGGGUGAACGGCCACAUUGGGACUGAGACACGGCCCAGACUCC